RNAcentral lists this ribosomal RNA (253 nucleotides) under uncultured bacterium. RNAcentral's name for it is "partial 16S ribosomal RNA". It matches the Rfam family "Bacterial small subunit ribosomal RNA", at positions 524 to 776 of the family's 1533-position model. The record is from RNAcentral.
UACGGGGGGAGCAAGCGUUGUUCGGAUUUACUGGGCGUAAAGGGCGCGUAGGCGGUCGUGACAAGUCACUUGUGAAAUCUCCGGGCUUAACUCGGAACGGUCAAGUGAUACUGUCGGACUAGAGUACAGAAGGGGCAACUGGAAUUCUCGGUGUAGCGGUGGAAUGCGUAGAUAUCGAGAGGAACACCUGCGGCGAAGGCGGGUUGCUGGGCUGAUACUGACGCUGAGGCGCGAAAGCCAGGGAGCGAACGGG